RNAcentral lists this long non-coding RNA (868 nucleotides) under Heterocephalus glaber (naked mole-rat). RNAcentral describes it as "lncRNA (ENSHGLG00100047968.1)". Lineage: Eukaryota; Metazoa; Chordata; Mammalia; Rodentia; Bathyergidae. The record is from RNAcentral.
CAGGCCCUUCCCGUCGGACACCUCUGAGGGCAGCCCGAGCCCGCCCUGCUGGUCCGGUGUCUUGCCGGAGUGGGCAGAGGGCCAUGUUAAGAGCUGGCCACCCGUCCCUGUCACCUCAGUGCCACCCACUGCUGGAGCCCUGCUGUGCUCGCUGAGCCCCAGCUCUCAGCCUCUGCCACCCUGGAUGAGCAGCCCACUCCACUCCAGUCCCAGCCCUGUGAAGCGCUGGCCCUCGCCACACUUCCUGGGGAGAGACAGCCGGCGAGCGGCCAGGCAGUGGCUGGUGUUGGCACUCAGUGCUGCACUUAGCCUUGUGGUGUCCAGGGCCGGGAGGCCAGCCUGGCUCCAGCUUCCAAGCCGGACCCUCUGUGUGGCUGUCGUGCUCCGGAAGGUGCCAUGUGGCCUCAGGAUGCUUUGUUCCUGCUUCAGCUCUUGGGCUCUUCCUGCAAGGACUCCAAGCCCCAGGUGAGGCACCGUUCCUCUCGAGGGAGUCCCAGGUCCUCAAGAGGGGUGCAGGGCUCAGCAGUGUCGUCCCCUGCACUGUGGGGAUGCAGCUCGGUGGGUGCAGCCUGGGGCAGGGUGGUUUGACACUCACAAAGCACACACCAUGCCCGCGCUUCGCACUCCUUCCAGCCUGGAAGAGCUCUCUCUGCCUCCCCAUGCGUGGCGGGGUCUGUCUGUCCAGGCUCCACUUUGGCUGCUGCCGGCCCUGGGAGAGGAUGGAGCUCAGGGUGUCCCAGCGCCCUGCAGCCCCAGCUCUGAGUGCGGGAGAGCUGGGUGGCCGCUCUCUGGGCUGAGGAGGGUCCAGACCCUGAAGAGCUGGGGUCUGACGGAAACUUCAGUUAGGAGCUCGUGGAAGUCACAGGAG